UGAUAUCCUGUAAUUAGUUUC
Molecule: non-coding RNA, 21 nt
Filed under: Caenorhabditis elegans
Lineage: Eukaryota; Metazoa; Nematoda; Chromadorea; Rhabditida; Rhabditidae
Source: RNAcentral